This 1494-nucleotide long non-coding RNA is filed under the name Homo sapiens (human). RNAcentral describes it as "HSALNT0316384". The record is from RNAcentral. Lineage: Eukaryota; Metazoa; Chordata; Mammalia; Primates; Hominidae.
GUAGGAAUAUUGAAUAAAGAGCUGAGAUGAGUGGGUCAGACCCAUUUAGUGUGCCAAAGUAGCUUUUCCUAUAAGCCAAGGAAAAAUAAAACAGCUUUUCCUAUAAGCCAAGGAAGAAUAAAACAGUUCUUUAAUCACCACUCACCUGAGAACUUAUGCUACCUUUCUUUUGAUCUUUUCACCUCUCUUUUCUUUGGCUACCUCUUUUACAUGUCUCUCCGCUCUGUAUUUCUACACACUUUGAUAUGGUUUGGCUCUGUGUCUCCACCCAAAUCUCACUUGAAUUGUAAUACCAUGUAUCAGGAGAGGGACCUGGUGGGAGGUGAUUGGAUCAUGGGGGCAGUUUCCCCCAUGCUUUUCUUAUGACAGUGAGCUUAUAGGCGGAAGGGAUUUACCUUAUCUCAGAUGAGACUUUGGACUUGGAAUUUUGAGUUAAUGCUGGAAUGAUUUAAGACUUUGGGGGACUGUUGGGAAGGCAUGAUUGGUUUUGAAAUGUAUAAAGGACAUGAGAUUUGGGAAGAGCCGGGGCAGAAUGAUAUGGUUUGGCUCUGUGUCUCCACCCAAGUCUCAUCUCAAAUCGUAAUUUCCACGUGUCAGGGAAGGACCUGGUGGGAGGUGACUGGAUCAUGGAGGUGGCUUCCCCAUGCUGUUCUCAUGAUAAUGAGUGAGUUCUCAUGAGAUGUGAUGGUUUAAAAGUGUCUGGCAGCCCCCUGGCCCUCAUGCUGUCUCUCCUGCCAGUAUGAAAAGACAUGCCUUGCUUCCCCUUUGCCUUCCAUCAUGAUUGUAAGCUUCCUGAUGCCUCCCCAGCCAUGCAGAACCAUGAGUCAACUAAACCUUUUUCUUUUAUAAAUUACCCAGUCUCAGUUGUUCUUUCUAGCAGUGUGAAAACAGAUUAAUACACACUUGUAUCUUUGGAUUUUGUUUUCUUUUGUAUCUCCUCCUUCCUUGCCCUUCCCUCAACCCCCACCUGGCUUUAAAUCUUUCUCUCUGUUCCUCUUCCUGUUCACACUUCCCUUUCUCCUCUUUCUUAUCUAGAUACAGAUGGAAUUAAAUCACUUUUUUGUAGUUUUUCUUUUUAUUUUAUGUUAGAUAUAGUUGGACACAUUUUUAAUUAAAAAAGCUAUCUCUGAGGAAAUCUCUGUGACUUAUUUUCCUUGGUUUAUAAAUGUGCCAUGACAAAACUGAUAUAAUAAUGAGGGUUUUUUUUUUUAAGUUUGGAAAAAAGUGAUUUAAAUCACUUUUCUGGGAGAUGUUUGGGUUUUUGGUUAACUCUCUUCUCUAUUGGUAAGAACCUCUCAAUAGACUUUUUACUGUCCUGCCCCUUAUGUAAUCAAAUGAUUAACUUAUCUGAUUUAUCAGAAUUAAAUUGGUUUCUGACAGAAUCACUGCUUAUCUAUACAGUGUUUUAGUGUGAGUUGAAACACUGUGCUCCUUCUUCAAAACAUUAUAAUUUUCAGUUGGAAAAUUAUCCUAAUAAACUUAUUUUUUUUAUAA